Long non-coding RNA from Cyprinus carpio carpio, 1284 nucleotides. Lineage: Eukaryota; Metazoa; Chordata; Actinopteri; Cypriniformes; Cyprinidae. The record is from Ensembl.
UAUUAACGGUUUGGAUCAAUAUGAAAAUCCCAACAAAGAGUGGAGCACCGACGACGAGUUGCUGCCGCACUUUUGCAUUACAGAUAUCUUCGGCUACCUUGUUUGUUUUGUGAGCGCCUACACUUCAGAACAGUUCCGAGGCUACAAGUCAUUGGAGUCUCAUGUGCAGUUCACAAAUGGAUGGGUUAAGGAACUGCAGAUCAUAAAGCCGGCAAACAGUAUACAGUAAUCCAGACAAAGACGGACGCACAACUUCAACGUGCAAUCCAAAAACGUCACAACGUCAUUUACAUACACAUGUCGGCGGAUGACACGUGCCGAUGACAUCACCUCAUUUAUCCUCAAUUUCCCGCGAAAGACCUACGCAGCGAUUAAAGAGCAGAGAAACCACAUCUUUGUCUUUUUGCUGUCCGAGACAUUAAACCAGGAGAAGAGAUUACUUACAGCUAUGGAGACUGGGAUUGGCAAGCCAAGCGUUCAUCACCUGCUCCUGUGACUGCUACAUCAUCCUCAUCCUCAUCCUCACCUGUGAGGAAAAGUUCAUCACCUGCCCCUGUUACUGCUACAUCAUCCUCAUCCUCACCUGUGAGGAAAAGUUAAUCACCUGCCCCUGUUACUGCUACAUCAUUCUCAUCCUCAUCCUCACCUGUGAGGAAAAGUUCAUCACCUGCCCCUGUGACUGCUACAUCAUCCUCAUCCUCACCUGUGAGGAAAAGUUCAUCAAGAAAAAGACAGCAGGAGAGGUUUCAGUCAAGAUUGGUCACACUACGGGAACAUCAUAACAAUUGCUCCAAGCGCUUUAAUAGAGCAGAAGUUGAAAAAACCAACAGAACAAAAAAGACUGCCAUACUUGAGGAUUGCGUUGUAUUCGAGUCUUCUGAUGCACCCUGUGCUAUGUGUACCUCUGUAAAGGCAUCACCACCCUCUCGCCCUUCUCCACUCCCCUCAUCAUCAUCAUCAUCAGCUGCCCCUGUGAUUGGCACAUCAUCUUCAUCCUCCCCAUCAUCACCUGCCCCUUUGCCCUGUGAUGCAUCCACUUCUGUGAUCUCUCCAUCACAGGUGUCCCAGACACUCUCAAUAAGGGAGGUUCAUCAAUCCCUUCAAAAAGAAAAUGGGAGGACUCUGAGGUAAAAGCAGUUGAAAAACAUAUGAUGAAGUUCAUAAAGACCUGCAGAGUUCCUGGUAAGCAAGACUGUGAGAGAUGCAUUAAAGCAGAGUCAGAAGCCUUAAAGGAACGAACAUGGACUGGUGUGAAAAAUUAUGUGCGGAACAGGAUCACAACUU